CGGGGCCAGCCCCAUACUUCACUUUUAAAAAGUAUUGGUUCUCCAGAAAGAAGAGUCUGAAACAUAGGCUUAUGUGCAAGUAUUGUAUUGGUUUAAAUCUGAUGUUGAAAAAAGAUACCAGAGUUGACUGAAGCCUCUCAUGUACUCCUCCUGGAGCCCAUUUACCUCUCAGUGUUUUCAAGCCAGUAUCCAAAUCAUAAUUUUGGGAGAGAGGAGCAAUGGACUUUUUGAGAAUUCAGAAUGUAAAGAAAGUGUCCUACCGAUUUUUAAGAAAAUCUAAAAAGAACGAAGAUCCCUAUUAGCUGAGAGACCGAGAAGCUCACAGUCCCCAACGCUACAGAUGGUGAUGGAGUGUGGUCUUUCGUGCAAGCUAGGAACUGAUUGUUUAUGCGCUCACCUGUGACUGCCCAGCUCCAGACAAUCGACUUGCCUCCGGGUAGGCCCACCGAGAUAGCAGACCACUACCUGCUGUGUCCAUCAAGCACUGUGCCGACAGGGCAAUCUUGUGACUAUUGUGGGAGGGACAUUUCAUCAUAUGUGAAGCACCCUGUUUGGGGGUAUAUAACCACUCUGUGCACCCCACUUCUUCGGUG
Molecule: long non-coding RNA, 593 nt
Filed under: Equus caballus (horse)
Lineage: Eukaryota; Metazoa; Chordata; Mammalia; Perissodactyla; Equidae
Description: lncRNA (ENSECAG00000052870.1)
Source: RNAcentral